RNAcentral lists this non-coding RNA (30 nucleotides) under Cricetulus griseus (Chinese hamster). The record is from RNAcentral. Lineage: Eukaryota; Metazoa; Chordata; Mammalia; Rodentia; Cricetidae.
CAUUUCAUUUCUCUGUGUUCUUUAUUGCAG